RNAcentral lists this ribosomal RNA (440 nucleotides) under uncultured bacterium. Its description in RNAcentral is "partial 16S ribosomal RNA". It matches the Rfam family "Bacterial small subunit ribosomal RNA", at positions 338 to 795 of the family's 1533-position model. The record is from RNAcentral.
CCUACGGGUGGCAGCAGUGGGGGAUAUUGCACAAUGGGGGAAACCCUGAUGCAGCGACGCCGCGUGUGGGAAGACGGUCCUCUGGAUUGUAAACCACUGUCCCCAGGGACGAAGAUGACGGUACCUGGGGAGGAAGCUCCGGCUAACUACGUGCCAGCAGCCGCGGUAAUACGUAGGGAGCAAGCGUUGUCCGGAAUUACUGGGGGAAAAGGGAGCGUAGGCGGGAUGGCAAGUUGGGUGUUAAAUCUACCGGCUAAACUGGGAGUCGCACUCAAAACUGACAUUCUUGAGUGAAGUAGAGGAAGGCGGAAUUCCUAGUGUAGCGGUGAAAUGCGUAGAUAUUAGGAGGAACACCAGUGGCGAAGGCGGCCUGCUGGGCUUUUACUGACGCUGAGGCUCGAAAGUGUGGGGAGCAAACAGGAUUAGAUACCCGAGUAGUC